GUGAAUCAUCGAAUUUUUGAACGCAAAUUGCGCUUCCUGGCAUCCCGGGAAGUAUGCCUGUUUGAGGGUCAGUAGUAAUAAAAAAUCGGGUUAGGUACAAGUUGUGAGGUUUGCGGAUGGGGGGCGAUCUUAACAUUUUUGGUUAAGAGGCGGAGAAUUGACCUUGGUGGGGCAUUUUUAAAGGGACAUAAAUUUUUUUUAUUCGUCUAUUAUUAAGGCUAAAAUCUUAUUUGAUGUGAGCACAUCGUGUGG
This 252-nucleotide unclassified non-coding RNA is filed under the name Glomeromycetes sp. Its description in RNAcentral is "partial contains 5.8S ribosomal RNA and internal transcribed spacer 2". The stretch from base 1 to 71 matches the Rfam family "5.8S ribosomal RNA", at positions 84 to 154 of the family's 154-position model. The record is from RNAcentral. Lineage: Eukaryota; Fungi; Glomeromycota; Glomeromycetes.